Molecule: ribosomal RNA, 467 nt
Filed under: uncultured Bacilli bacterium
Lineage: Bacteria; Bacillati; Bacillota; Bacilli
Description: bacterial SSU rRNA
Rfam family: Bacterial small subunit ribosomal RNA
Source: RNAcentral
CGAGCGGUUUGGUCCUUACGGGCGAAGCGUAGCGGCGGACGGGUGGAGUAACACGUAGGCGAACCUCGCCCACUGGGACCGGGACGUAACGUACGGGGAAACCGAUGCUAAUACCGGAUAGCUGAUUCUCUUGCAUAAGGGAAGUCUGGAAAGACGGCGUAAGCUGUCACCGAUGGAUGGGCCUGCGGCGCAUUAGCUAGUUGGUGGGGUAACGGGCUCACCAAGGCGACGAUGCGUAGCCGACCUGAGAGGGUGAUCGGCCACACUGGGACUGAGACACGGCCCAGACUCCUACGGGAGGCAGCAGUAGGGAAUCUUCGGCAAUGGGCGAAAGCCUGACCGAGCAACGCCGCGUGAGUGAUGAAGGCUUUCGGGUCGUAAAACUCUGUUGCCAGAGAAGAACGUCCAGGAGAGUAACUGCUCUUGGAGUGACGGUAUCUGAGAAGAAAGCCCCGGCUAACUACGUG